RNAcentral lists this ribosomal RNA (380 nucleotides) under Staphylococcus aureus. Its description in RNAcentral is "partial 23S ribosomal RNA". It matches the Rfam family "Bacterial large subunit ribosomal RNA", at positions 566 to 947 of the family's 2925-position model. The record is from RNAcentral. Lineage: Bacteria; Bacillati; Bacillota; Bacilli; Caryophanales; Staphylococcaceae.
ACAAGUAGUCAGAGCCCGUUAAUGGGUGAUGGCGUGCCUUUUGUAGAAUGAACCGGCGAGUUACGAUUUGAUGCAAGGUUAAGCAGUAAAUGUGGAGCCGUAGCGAAAGCGAGUCUGAAUAGGGCGUUUAGUAUUUGGUCGUAGACCCGAAACCAGGUGAUCUACCCUUGGUCAGGUUGAAGUUCAGGUAACACUGAAUGGAGGACCGAACCGACUUACGUUGAAAAGUGAGCGGAUGAACUGAGGGUAGCGGAGAAAUUCCAAUCGAACCUGGAGAUAGCUGGUUCUCUCCGAAAUAGCUUUAGGGCUAGCCUCAAGUGAUGAUUAUUGGAGGUAGAGCACUGUUUGGACGAGGGGCCCCUCUCGGGUUACCGAAUUCA